This is a long non-coding RNA of Myotis lucifugus (little brown bat), 691 nucleotides long. RefSeq lists it as uncharacterized. The record is from RefSeq and is a predicted model, not a curated record. The transcript is spliced from 2 exons. NCBI's taxonomy places the organism in Eukaryota, Metazoa, Chordata, Mammalia, Chiroptera, Vespertilionidae.
CCUCAUGGGGGCUGGCUUCCUCCUCACCUACGUCCUCACCUGGCUCUACUACACCAGGUGUGGAGGCCGCCGGAACAGGAGGCAGAGCUCCUGAUGGAUCCUCCCUUCCUCUCAAGAUGGGACUGAGGUGUGGACACCAGGCGAGAGGGACCGUCCUGGGACGUCAAUGUCACCUUCUCCCUGGAAGCUCUUGACUCACCUGCCUCCCAUGUGCCCCUGGGGUUUCAGUGUGUGGAAGUGACUGAGUGACCACAAGGGGAGUCAGUGCCAUGGAGAGAAGACUUUUCCUCCUUUCACCUCCUGAGAGGAGGGGCCGCUGUGCCCGGGAAGCCCUGGAUUUCCUCAGGAAGCAGAUGCAGGUGCAGAGCAGCCUAGCGAAGGCCUUCAUUGGGUUUCCCAUGGGAAACACAAGGCAGGGCAGGGUGAGCAGUUCAGGACCAGCUGGUGUGUGUCAGUCUGGGGGAUGGGCCUGUGGGCGUGGUCUCCAUGUGUCUGGUCCCAGGUGCUGGGUGAUUGGGGGCAGGUGGGGAGGCUGGGAAUACGGGUUCAGGUUGGGUUGGUUUGCAUCUGAAAUUCUUUGCUGUCUCUGAGAAUGGGCGGGCCCUGGGAGGCCCUGUGUCUCCUUGGCUUCCAAUCUGCUUAAUGGCUCAAAACAUCCUGAGAUACAGAAAUAAACAAUAAUACACACCCA